UCCCUGGUGGCUCAGAGGUAAAGCAUCUGCCUGCAAUGCGGGAGACCCGGGUUCAAUCCCUGGGUAGGGAA
This 71-nucleotide transfer RNA is filed under the name Ovis aries (sheep). It matches the Rfam family "tRNA". From Rfam's summary of the family: Transfer RNA (tRNA) molecules are approximately 80 nucleotides in length. Their secondary structure includes four short double-helical elements and three loops (D, anti-codon, and T loops). Lineage: Eukaryota; Metazoa; Chordata; Mammalia; Artiodactyla; Bovidae. The record is from Rfam by way of RNAcentral.